Long non-coding RNA from Anas platyrhynchos (mallard), 4707 nucleotides. RefSeq lists it as uncharacterized. The record is from RefSeq and is a predicted model, not a curated record. NCBI's taxonomy places the organism in Eukaryota, Metazoa, Chordata, Aves, Anseriformes, Anatidae.
GCUCAAUGCAACUGCAGGUGAUUGCUUACACCCUGCGAGUGCAUGCCCCGUGUUCUCACGUGGAUACCCGUGCCGCUUUUAACUCCCAUCUGCGCCCUGGCAAGAUCAAACCAAAGGAGAUAAAGCAUCAGAGGUACCUGUUCGGCAACAGAUGAAGUGCAGCAAGGAAAACCUCCCUGCUCAGCCCCUGCGCCCAGCACCGCAGCACUUCAACAGCAGCAGGACAAUCAGCUCCAGGAGGAGAGCGGUGCUGCAGGGAGGAUGAAGGAAGUCACUCAAGCUGCUGUGGGGAAAAUGGUAGGGUGGGAGGUGCAGAGGUAGAGCAGGGAAGCAGCCAGUAGCAUCAUCUGGUUGGUACUCACUCCUUGCUGGCACAAUAAAACUGAACCAGGCUUCACUGCAAUAGCAUCCACCAGUCAAGAGAAACAACUGCAAAUAAAGGCUAAUCAUCUUUUCAGAUUUAUGAUUAGUCCUGCUCAUAUCUAGGGGAGCUGUUCUUCUGAAUUAAGAAAACUUGAUUAGCCUAUUAAAAUGCGGAUAAAUUCUGGAAAGAUCCAGUUUCCUACUGCAUCUCUCUCUGCAUGGAUACAGGACAAUCACUUCCUGAUGCUGGGUGGGCAGCUGGCUCUUCCCCUGCUCCCACCUUCAGUCCUGUGCCUGCCCCUGCCUCUGUGCCUACCCAGGACUGCUGCAGCAACGCGGAGCUGAAGGCGACGUGGCACCGUGCCAGGGCUAUCAGGACUUGGGAUGAUCAAUACCGAUGAUUCUUUCCCUCGCCGUCGCCAAAGGUCCUGAGCUGGACUGUUAUGAGCUCUGCCAUCAAAAUGAUUUCUCCUCCAGAUGCACCUCAAGCCCAGCAAAAAAGUGAGUGGGAUGGUGCGCUCUCUGCUGAACGUUCACAAUGAUGACCUCAAAACACGUGGAUUUGUCUCAGACAGACAUAGAGAAAAGCGGUAAGCUGACUGACAGUCAUCCUGCUCUAUGAAUAAAACAAAAUGCAAGUCAUUACAACAUGCUGGCACAGCCGACCCUCUCCAAAGAAAACACAACCACAUGUCUUCCACAAAUAUCCGUAUUUCUUCUCCACUGAUACUUUCUCCUGUGUCUGUAAUUUGAAAUACUUCCUGAGAUGUUGGAAAUGAGCUGCUAGCAUUUGCCCCACACAGAACAGUGCUGUAUGAAAGAAGCCCAGCCUCACCAGAGGACAGUGAGAAGACAGCCUGCUACCCCAGCCAAACAGCUGUGCUUGGGGUGCUCAGAAAUCCUGCUUUAUGGGGCAGGGCUGAUGGCUUUGACAGUACAUUACUGGAGUGCCAGGUCCCAACUUGUCUUCUUGGGACCUGCAAGUAUUAAGGGUAUGUGUAUUUUCCCCCACAAAAGAUCCUGCUGAUAGCGUAGGUCAGUUGGUGAUAUUGGCUUUUUUCCCCAGCAGCAGCUCUGCGUGCAUUUUUAACUUCUACCAACUCCUGCCUGUUCACUAGGUGCAUGAAGAGCCAGCCUGCAAAAAGAAAACCAGACGAGUCUGCCACAACUAAGACGCUGAUGAAUUUUUACUGAAUGGCAAAUAUCCAGCCCAGGAACAGCCAGCACAACACCCUCAGCCUAGGGCUCAUCCUCAGCCCCCUCUCCAUACUCAGACACGAGGAAGAGACAGGCUACUGUCACCCUUCCCCCUGGGACAAGAGACAUGCAAAAAGCACAGCCCCAAACCCUCCGGAUGGGAAGCAGAGCUGGCACCUCGGUGACGUGAUGACACUGCUUCACAUGGCAGCAGAGGACGCAGGACACCUCAUGGGCUCGGAGGUGACCCUGAGCAAACGGGGUGGCACACGUAGCUUCCCACACACCAGCACCACAACACGAGCUGCUGGGAUAAAAAUAUCAAACUAAACAGCUUGCCUUGCUCUUGAGCUCAGGGAUAACACAUGCAGAUAUGGAGUUGCUCUGUUCCUCUGAGGGCCAGGAAACAGGUGAGAAUUUAUAGCUGCAAAAAGAGCAAUUUAUAAGGCUGUACCGAGAGGACCACAUUGCAUGCACACAAAGAGGAGACAGUGAAGUUUUCCUCCUGCUCUUCCUCAAAGUAAGCAGGUAUUUUCGACAAGAGAUUGUAGGGGAAAAAGUCAAGGCUUGGUUAAACGAAUUUAUUUUCUACCAGCUGUGCUCACAGAUAGCUUCAGAGCAUGGCACAGAAUAAAUUAUGCAGUUGGUUUUGUUUUAUUUUUUUCCUUUUGACUGCAUGCCCAAAGUGACACAAUUUGUUGACUUCUGACCAAGUGUUUUGGUAAUGUACCUGGAAUUGCAGUGAUUCCAGACACUGGAAUCACAGUUGCUUUAAAAACUGAGAGGGCAAAACCAUACUGGCAGCCAGCACAGGAAGCUUCCUCUGCAUCAGAGGGGGUCACCAACCUGUCCUUGUCAUGAGAAAAAAAUGUGCACACUGUUUUCUCAGUUUCUGCUGCUUCUCCUGUCCUGCCUCAAGUUGUUAGCUGCCCUUUUUUGGAAAUGUUAAAAGGCAGAUUUAUUCCUUUCAACCCAAAACCAGUGGAGCGCCUGGUGUGGCUCUAUCUCCAGGCUUAAAAGACAACUGGGAUUGGAGGGAGUGGGGGGAAGCUUAAUAAUACAUCUCAGCCCAGACCUUCCUGUUUUACCCAUACCUUUGGAGCCAGGGGCAGGCAGGUCUGAGGUGAGAUGUGAUUGAGGCACCUCAUUUUAUGGCUGUCACAGCCCUGUUACCAACUUGAGAGGGGUUACUCCAGUGGACUGAAUAUGCAGGGAAAUGCUCAGCUGAAACACACCCAUACAGGAAAAUCAAGAACUUGUCCCACUUGCCCAGUCUCCCUCCUCUUACCCAGCUUCCAGGGAGGGCUGCCCACCCAUUUCCCUCACUCACCACCCCUCCAAGCAAGUGGUUAAAUUCAGCAAGCAUAGUGGGAACUCAAAAACAAGCAAACUGCUUACUUGCAGCAAAUGACAUGAGGAUUUUUUUCAGGUGUCCUGAAAUAAUUUUGGAGCUUUUAGCUCUGUCUUGUUUAUUUUUGCGUCUGUUCCCUCCAAGUGCCAGAUAAAUUUAUUAAAAAUACGUGUGUUUUACCACGUAAUAUUUAAAAAUCUCUCAUAAAACCAGGCACAUCCUUUUGGGCAGAGAGAUUCUCUAGGAACAGAAAGGCAAGCUUUAAGUGACAGCCGGGGCUGAAGGGCAGGAGGCAUACCAAAACCUUUGCUUUUCUAAACACUGCUGAAACCCAAGCAAAUAGUGCUUUCUGCUUCACUACUAUCUGCAGGCACUGAAGAACCGACAAGGAACUCAUCUUUUUGUUAAGCAUGACCACUGUGAAAAUCGACUGGCUCUGCUCACCUCCCCUGCACUUCUCAGGCAGGAAUUUAAACAGAAUUUAGGUAUAUUCUCUAAUUUUUAUGUUACACAUACGUAGACAUUUCCUGUGACAUAACAAGACAAACUGGUCAGGGGCAAAAUGUGUUCCCACAGAGAAUCCCUUUGCACUGUACGCUGUAAGCCAAGCUUUGAAGUGUGAGCUCUGAGUCCGCUCCCAGUUCUGUCUUUCUGCAGCCAGGGCAUACGAAUGUAAGGUGGGGAAAACGUGCUCGGUGAACUCUGUCUGCUAGUCAAUAACUAACUUGUUCUCCUUACAUUAUCCUUAGGACAACUGUCUCCACGCCUGUAUUUGCAGAUCCGGAGAAAAGGCAAUUUGCCGAGUUAUAGGGCAGUCAUGGGAGCAGAGACACUGCCUUGUGGAGUAAGAAAAGGAGGACAAGAGUAGACACAAGUGGCCUACUUACAGGGACGAAGUCCUGACAAUUUGCUCGCUUCCCAUUAGUUAGGUCAGCUCCCUCUGUGGGAGGCUGACAGUAAGAAACCUCCAGGAUCUUGAAGUCUGCCAAGGAGAUCUGAGAGAACAUGAAAUGCAGGGAGAAACGGGGGCCAAAGGGAAACCAUUUGACUCCCUGAAUAUGAGAUUAACAUCAUGAAAAGGCUGAGGAGAACUUUCUCCUGUCCCUCCCUGCUUUUGUCUCACACAUAGAGUACAUUUGCUAUAUAGAAAAAGAGCAUGUGAAAGGGAGGAAAAAUUUUACACUCUCUGGAUAAUUCUAACAAUGCAUUAAAAAUAUACAGAAAAGGAACAAGUUAUUUUGAUGUUAUAUAUAUAUAUAUUUUUUUUUCUUUCUAAGACCAGCUCUUCCAGCUCUUAAAUAAUCUUUCACGUUAUUGUCUAACAUCAUGGCUUUUUGAGCAAUGUAACUUAAAAGCUGAUAAACAGCAUUUCCCAGCAGCCUUGCAAUGGCAGACUCCAGCCCUGUAGCAUCUCCAGCAUCCUCCGUGGCGAUCACAAACAUCUCACCAGUUUCUGGGUAUCCCAGGGCACAAGCUGCCACAGGUUUCAGCUGUGAACGCAGCAGGAGCACCUCACUGGGCUGCCAAGAACUAGAACAAAUGUGCUCCUUCCUACCGAGCAAACCUCAAAGAAAUUAUCCAGCACAGCUUAGGAAGAACUGGGAAGCUCCAUCGGAGAUGCUUCUGAAAUCUGGUCUUUAUCAGAAUAUGCCACAGAAACAGUGUUUAUAGUAAUGGAUUCUUGUCUUUGGGAUAAAAAAGUAUAAAAUCAUGAUGUCAUGUAGCACAAACUUUGUAUGUGAAAAGAGAAUUUGGAGAGCAGAGGAUAGGAAAUUGAUUUUCACUGUGGUUUUAAC